RNAcentral lists this ribosomal RNA (490 nucleotides) under uncultured bacterium. RNAcentral describes it as "partial 16S ribosomal RNA". It matches the Rfam family "Bacterial small subunit ribosomal RNA", at positions 30 to 507 of the family's 1533-position model. The record is from RNAcentral.
AUUGAACGCUGGCGGCAGGCCUAACACAUGCAAGUCGAACGGUAACAGGAAACAGCUUGCUGUUUCGCUGACGAGUGGCGGACGGGUGGGUCAUGUCUGGGAAACUGCCUGAUGGAGGGGGAUAACUACUGGAAACGGUAGCUAAUACCGCAUAACGUCGCAAGACCAAAGAGGGGGACCUUCGGGCCUCUUGCCAUCGGAUGUGCCCAGAUGGGAUUAGCUAGUAGGUGGGGUAACGGCUCACCUAGGCGACGAUCCCUAGCUGGUCUGAGAGGAUGACCAGCCACACUGGAACUGAGACACGGUCCAGACUCCUACGGGAGGCAGCAGUGGGGAAUAUUGCACAAUGGGCGCAAGCCUGAUGCAGCCAUGCCGCGUGUAUGAAGAAGGCCUUCGGGUUGUAAAGUACUUUCAGCGGGGAGGAAGGGAGUAAAGUUAAUACCUUUGCUCAUUGACGUUACCCGCAGAAGAAGCACCGGCUAACUCCGUG